This is a small nuclear RNA of Erinaceus europaeus (western European hedgehog), 160 nucleotides long. Its record names the gene U1. It matches the Rfam family "U1 spliceosomal RNA". From Rfam's summary of the family: U1 is a small nuclear RNA (snRNA) component of the spliceosome (involved in pre-mRNA splicing). Its 5' end forms complementary base pairs with the 5' splice junction, thus defining the 5' donor site of an intron. NCBI's taxonomy places the organism in Eukaryota, Metazoa, Chordata, Mammalia, Eulipotyphla, Erinaceidae. The record is from Ensembl.
AAGCCUAGCACGGAAGAUACCAUGAUCACAAAAAUGGUUUUCCCAGGGCGAGGCUUAUCCACUGCACUCAGGAUGUGCUGACCCCUGCGAUUUCCCCAAAUGUGGGAAACUUGACUGUGUAAUUUGUGGUAGUGGGGGACUGCAUUUGACCUCUCCCAUG